UUGGGUGUUUCUUCUUCCUCCUCAUCAGAGCUAUCCUCGCUAUCAUCAGAGGAGUCAUCACCAUCCUCACUGUCAUCCUACAAUAAUAUGUGACAAACAGCUUCAGUCAACCAUAAAUCAAUACAAAUCUACAAUAAUAAUAGGUAGAUUAACAAUUUCAGCCAAGCAUCAAUUCAUAUGCAUGUAUGUGUACCAUAAUAGGUAGAUUAACAAUUUCAGCCAAGCAUCAAUUCAUAUGCAUGUAUGUGUACCAUAAUAGGUAGAUUAACAAUUUCAGCCAAGCAUCAAUUCAUAUGCAUGUAUGUGUACCAUAAUAGGUAGAUUAACAAUUUCAGCCAAGCAUCAAUUCAUAUGCAUAUCGACCAUAAUAGGUGAUUAACAAUUUCAGUCAAGCAUCAAUCUAUAUGCAUAUCUACCACAAUAGGUGAAAAACAAUUUCAGUCAAGCAUAAAUAAAUCUACACAAAUCCAGAACAGGCCAUGUAAUUAACAUAAACAAAGUAUGGGGUGUCAGUCAAUUAACUCACAGAAUCAUCCUCCAUGGGAAUCAAUGCUCCAUCAUCACCAGAGUCAUCUUCGCUGUCAUCCUCAUCACUGUCAUCAUCAUCAUCGCUGUCAUCAUCCUUCUUAGAUUUUCCCACAUCCUUGGCAGCGGCCUUUGACUUUGAAGGCGCAGCAGUGUCAAUCUUAACCUGCUUCUUCUGCUCCUUGG
This 711-nucleotide long non-coding RNA is filed under the name Triticum aestivum (bread wheat). Its description in RNAcentral is "long non-coding RNA (TAES_LNC012338)". Lineage: Eukaryota; Viridiplantae; Streptophyta; Magnoliopsida; Poales; Poaceae. The record is from RNAcentral.